The sequence is a transfer RNA, 73 nucleotides long. It matches the Rfam family "tRNA". From Rfam's summary of the family: Transfer RNA (tRNA) molecules are approximately 80 nucleotides in length. Their secondary structure includes four short double-helical elements and three loops (D, anti-codon, and T loops). Further hydrogen bonds mediate the characteristic L-shaped molecular structure. tRNAs have two regions of fundamental functional importance: the anti-codon, which is responsible for specific mRNA codon recognition, and the 3' end, to which the tRNAs corresponding amino acid is attached (by aminoacyl-tRNA synthetases). tRNAs cope with the degeneracy of the genetic code in two manners: having more than one tRNA (with a specific anti-codon) for a particular amino acid; and 'wobble' base-pairing, i.e. permitting non-standard base-pairing at the 3rd anti-codon position. The record is from Rfam.
GCCCAGGUAGCUCAGUUGGUAGAGCAGGGGAUUGAAAAUCCCCGUGUCGGCGGUUCGAUUCCGUCCCUGGGCA